This 309-nucleotide ribosomal RNA is filed under the name uncultured bacterium. Its description in RNAcentral is "partial 16S ribosomal RNA". It matches the Rfam family "Bacterial small subunit ribosomal RNA", at positions 504 to 807 of the family's 1533-position model. The record is from RNAcentral.
AGAGACAGCAGCCGCCGCGGUAAUACGGAGGGUGCAAGCGUUAAUCGGAAUUACUGGGCGUAAAGCGCACGCAGGCGGUCUGACAAGUCAGAUGUGAAAUCCCCGGGCUUAACUUGGGAACUGCAUUUGAAACUGGCAAGCUAGAGUCUUGUAGAGGGGGGUAGAAUUCCAGGUGUAGCGGUGAAAUGCGUAGAGAUCUGGAGGAAUACCGGUGGCGAAGGCGGCCCCCUGGACAAAGACUGACGCUCAGGUGCGAAAGCGUGGGGAGCAAACAGGAUUAGAUACCCGAGUAGUCCCUGUCUCUUAUAC